CCGGCUAACUACGUGCCAGCAGCCGCGGUAAUACGUAGGGUGCAAGCGUUAAUCGGAAUUACUGGGCGUAAAGCGUGCGCAGGCGGUUAUGUAAGACAGGUGUGAAAUCCCCGGGCUUAACCUGGGAAUGGCAUUUGUGACUGCAUAGCUAGAGUGUGUCAGAGGGGGGUAGAAUUCCACGUGUAGCAGUGAAAUGCGUAGAGAUGUGGAGGAAUACCGAUGGCGAAGGCAGCCCCCUGGGAUAACACUGACGCUCAUGCACGAAAGCGUGGGGAGCAAACAGGAUUAGAUACCCUGGUAGUCCACGCCCUAAACGAUGUCUACUAGUUGUCGGGUCUUAAUUGACUUGGUAACGCAGCUAACGCGUGAAGUAGACCGCCUGGGGAGUACGGUCGCAAGAUUAAAACUCAAAGGAAUUGACGGGGACCCGCACAAGCGGUGGAUGAUGUGGAUUAAUUCGAUGCAACGCGAAAAACCUUACCUACCCUUGACAUGUACAGAAUCCCGAAGAGAUUUGGGAGUGUUCGAAAGAAAACUGUAACACAGGUGCUGCAUGGCUGUCGUCAGCUCGUGUCGUGAGAUGUUGGGUUAAGUCCCGCAACGAGCGCAACCCUUGUCAUUAGUUGCUACGAAAGGGCACUCUAAUGAGACUGCCGGUGACAAACCGGAGGAAGGUGGGGAUGACGUCAAGUCCUCAUGGCCCUUAUGGGUAGGGCUUCACACGUCAUACAAUGGUACAUACAGAGGGCCGCCAACCCGCGAGGGGGAGCUAAUCCCAGAAAGUGUAUCGUAGUCCGGAUUGUAGUCUGCAACUCGACUACAUGAAGUUGGAAUCGCUAGUAAUCGCGGAUCAGCAUGUCGCGGUGAAUACGUUCCCGGGUCUUGUACACACCGCCCGUCACACCAUGGGAGCGGGUUUUACCAGAAGU
Molecule: ribosomal RNA, 929 nt
Filed under: Collimonas sp. M1U8
Lineage: Bacteria; Pseudomonadati; Pseudomonadota; Betaproteobacteria; Burkholderiales; Oxalobacteraceae
Description: bacterial SSU rRNA
Rfam family: Bacterial small subunit ribosomal RNA
Source: RNAcentral